ACAGAAUCGCUCCUCUUAGUACUCUUAUUAGAAGUGUUAUCAUCGAAUAUAAGUUUUUUCAAUAAAUUCUUAUCGUUUUACAAUCUUUCUAGAAUACAAUGACGUCAGCAAUCGAUCAUUUUCGCGAAUUUAUUGUAAAAUAAUUGGGGGAAUAUCUGGAGUUCUUUAUCGGUUUCGACUGUAAAAUCAGCAACUAUUCGAAUUUUUCAUUCAUAAUUGUGACAUUUUCGACUCUUCCGUUCCCAAGACCCUCUUGAGAGAUUUUUGGCACGUUCCAUCACCCUUGUUAAACGAGUGCACAUUGGUGGAUAUAUUGAUUUUAAAAACCAAUACGUGAACGAGGUUUAUUAUCUCACUGGGACAAAGAAAUCCGUUUUAUUCGCGAAUUUUCCGUGUUUCUUCUUAAUUUUCGUGAGUGUCUGGCGCGGAGCAUUAUUUGAAUGAACUUUUCAUCGUUCAGAUUAUAUUUCGUUUAAAAAGAUUGAAAUUGAUGUCGAGAAGAAAUGAAACAAGGUGCUCGGGCAUUCUUUCGUUUCCCGGGGAAAGAGAAAUAUGAAAAAAAACGGUCGUUCUUCCUUCUGCCAUUUUCGUCCAUUACCAAAAUGGCAUGACCCAAGUGUCCCGGGCCGUGAAUCAAUCAAGCGAAUUUUGAAUAAUUUUUGAAUAAUAUCCAGUUAAUAAUUUGUGAAACAAAUUAAUUUCAUUUUAUUGUUGGAAACAAAUUAGUUGGAUUUUUCUUUCUUUAGCAGUUUUUGCCAGAGUUGACCUGACGUGCUACUUCAGUUUCCAUCUUCGCUUCUUGAAACUUCCAACGUCCUUGGUGUUGGAGUCUCCUUGCCCAGGAAGAGAAGCUCGCGACAGAUGUUAUCAAACAAAUCGUUUAUUCUCGAAAAGUUCGAACUUGUUCGUUGCGUUUGAAUAUAUAUGGACGGACGCCAUUUUUCAUGACAUCAUCAUGAUUUGUCAUGUCGUGAGUAUAGCUUCUGACUACCAUAUGUUUGUGAUUUAUGUGAAAUUUGACCACUAUACCGUGAUAGAAUAAUAUUUCCAAUGAAUUAUAAAUAUUUUACAUUGUGAAUUAUAAAUAUUUGUUACAAAUUAUAUCGUACUUGAGAUGAAAAUGAACCAUAUAUCUGCUUAUGGAAUAUGAGGUAGUAAAUCAUUCGAAACAUAAUAACGAUUAAUUAAGCACAUAUACAAUAACGUUUACGAAUGAAUAUUGCGAAUUAUUGUAUGGCUUUAAUGCGGUAUUUAAUGUUUUGAUUGCGGUCUUUGAAAUGGUAUCAUAGGUGCUGAUAUAAUAUCGCGCGAAAAAGGAAAGACCAGUGGUUAAUAUUGCAGGUGCACCAGUGCGUUGCGCUCGUCGAGGGUGGUUUUGACGCUGGUGCCGAGGAAAGGCGCAGAACGUGUUCGAUCGACCCGCGAACGUAGCCUGUGCUCAUACUGCGACAGAGUUCGUUUCAGUUAGGCUCAGUCGCUGUUUGUCCGUCGACAGCGUAUAGUCGCGUCGGCCUACGAUUCCUUUUUUCUUCUUGUUUCUUGCGAACUCUCUCGCAACAGCCGUUCUAUACGUACGCCGCCAGUAUAUCGCGUGAUCAUCGUUCCCGUUGCUCCCCUUACCCUCUCACGUCCUUCGAAGAAGACCUCCCUUUGGUUUUUCCUUGUUUGGAGGGAAUUCAUCGCUCGGACACAUGGACUGCGAAGUACGAGGGUAUUCCAAUUUUUUAAUAUAUAAAUUUAGUUUCCUCUAUGGUGUUAGAGAACAUAACGCGAGCAUUUUAUGAUAUAACGAAUAUAUUCGUAUAUAUUUUAGUUUAUUCAUUCGUCAAAUUUCCCUAGUAGGCCGGCCUGCAGCUCACAUGCAGCACUUAGUAAAAAUUUGUUUUGUUAGAGGUUGGCCAUUCUUCUUGCUAUAAAAAUAUCGUGAAGUCAUAUCAUAUGAUAAAGCACCUUCUGAAAGCUAGAUGCUCGAUAACGAGCCUAAUGAUUCUCGGUAGUUUGUAAUGUCAAGCUUUGAAUUGGCGAGAUCGCUUUGCUGUCAAACCGCCGUCCAGCGGCGACCACAUUCUUUAACCACGUUCAAGGGGUAUAUCACGCUACAGAAACCAUCAAAGGGUUUGCAAGUUAGUUGCCUUUUAGAAGUGGGGCAGUUGGUUGUUACAUGUCAUCCGUAGUUGCUGGCUGUUCUCCUUAGUCGCCAUACAUCGUAGAGACGACGGUUAUAGUCGCCAGUUGUCCUUGCUAAUGGUUGCUUGUUGUCGCUAGUUAGUUCUCGUUAUCGUUAUGUAUUCCAUCAAUCACGCGAAAUUUAACGUAUGGGAUUUUAUUCUUCUUUAUUCUUUCUGUAGGGAGAUUUUU
This is a long non-coding RNA of Bombus huntii, 2358 nucleotides long. RefSeq lists it as uncharacterized. The transcript has 2 exons. The record is from RefSeq and is a predicted model, not a curated record. NCBI's taxonomy places the organism in Eukaryota, Metazoa, Arthropoda, Insecta, Hymenoptera, Apidae.